This 199-nucleotide small RNA is filed under the name Rhodopseudomonas palustris HaA2. Its description in RNAcentral is "Bradyrhizobiaceae sRNA BjrC174". It matches the Rfam family "Bradyrhizobiaceae sRNA BjrC174". Lineage: Bacteria; Pseudomonadati; Pseudomonadota; Alphaproteobacteria; Hyphomicrobiales; Nitrobacteraceae. The record is from Rfam by way of RNAcentral.
CUCACGCCUUCGUUAGCCGAAUCUUAUUACCGCCAGAUUUUCGCCCAUCGAACGCCCGGUCGACUUGCGAAAACAUCCUGGCGUUGGCCCGAUCCAGGCGGUCUCGGAUUCCUCAGCCCCCAGCCCCCCGAGGUCGUCGGGGUCGGGCCUGACGCAGCAACCAAUCCCCCAGCCUGGGCCAACGUGAGUUGGCCUUUUU